Molecule: non-coding RNA, 144 nt
Organism: Podarcis lilfordi (Lilford's wall lizard)
Lineage: Eukaryota; Metazoa; Chordata; Lepidosauria; Squamata; Lacertidae
Source: the annotation of a GenBank genome assembly
CUUCCAGUAGCACCUUAGAGACCAACUAAGUUUGUUAUUGGUAUGAGCUUUCGUGUGCAUGCAAACUUCUUCAGAUAAGUGUGCAUGCACAUGAAAGCUCAUACCAAAAACAAACUUAGUUGGUCUCUAAGGUGCUACUGGAAG